This 373-nucleotide ribosomal RNA is filed under the name uncultured bacterium. Its description in RNAcentral is "bacterial SSU rRNA". It matches the Rfam family "Bacterial small subunit ribosomal RNA", at positions 521 to 896 of the family's 1533-position model. The record is from RNAcentral.
UAAUACGGAGGGUGCAAGCGUUGUCCGGAUUUAUUGGGUUUAAAGGGUGCGUAGGUGGCCUAUUAAGUCAGUGUUUAAAGUCUGCAGCUUAACUGUAGUUAUGGCAUUGAUACUGAUAGGCUUGAGUAAAGUUGAGGUAGGCGGAAUUGAAGGUGUAGCGGUGAAAUGCAUAGAUAUCUUCAAGAACACCGAUUGCGAAGGCAGCUUACUAAGCUUUAACUGACACUGAGGCACGAAAGCGUGGGGAUCAAACAGGAUUAGAUACCCUGGUAGUCCACGCCGUAAACGAUGAUUACUCGAUGUUAGCGAUAUACUGUUAGCGUCUUAGCGAAAGCGUUAAGUAAUCCACCUGGGGAGUACGAUCGCAAGAUUG